Molecule: ribosomal RNA, 765 nt
Filed under: uncultured Streptococcus sp.
Lineage: Bacteria; Bacillati; Bacillota; Bacilli; Lactobacillales; Streptococcaceae
Description: bacterial SSU rRNA
Rfam family: Bacterial small subunit ribosomal RNA
Source: RNAcentral
GACGAACGCUGGCGGCGUGCCUAAUACAUGCAAGUAGAACGCUGAAGCUUGGUGCUUGCACCGAGCGGAUGAGUUGCGAACGGGUGAGUAACGCGUAGGUAACCUGCCUGGUAGCGGGGGAUAACUAUUGGAAACGAUAGCUAAUACCGCAUGAUAUUGAUUAUUGCAUGAUAGUCAAUUAAAAGGUGCAAUUGCAUCACUACCAGAUGGACCUGCGUUGUAUUAGCUAGUUGGUGAGGUAACGGCUCACCAAGGCAACGAUACAUAGCCGACCUGAGAGGGUGAUCGGCCACACUGGGACUGAGACACGGCCCAGACUCCUACGGGAGGCAGCAGUAGGGAAUCUUCGGCAAUGGACGGAAGUCUGACCGAGCAACGCCGCGUAAGUGAAGAAGGUUUUCGGAUCGUAAAGCUCUGUUGUAAGAGAAGAACGAGUGUGAGAGUGGAAAGUUCACACUGUGACGGUAUCUUACCAGAAAGGGACGGCUAACUACGUGCCAGCAGCCGCGGUAAUACGUAGGUCCCGAGCGUUGUCCGGAUUUAUUGGGCGUAAAGCGAGCGCAGGCGGUUAGAUAAGUCUGAAGUUAAAGGCUGUGGCUUAACCAUAGUACGCUUUGGAAACUGUUUAACUUGAGUGCAAGAGGGGAGAGUGGAAUUCCAUGUGUAGCGGUGAAAUGCGUAGAUAUAUGGAGGAACACCGGUGGCGAAAGCGGCUCUCUGGCUUGUAACUGACGCUGAGGCUCGAAAGCGUGGGGAGCAAACAGG